Molecule: ribosomal RNA, 476 nt
Filed under: uncultured bacterium
Lineage: Bacteria
Description: bacterial SSU rRNA
Rfam family: Bacterial small subunit ribosomal RNA
Source: RNAcentral
AGGACGAACGCUGGCGGCGUGCUUCAUACAUGCAAGUCGAACGAGAAUCUCACUUCGGUGAGAGGAAAGUGGCGGACGGGUGAGUAAUGUGUAGAGAAUCUGCCCUAGAGUGAGGGACAACAGAGGGAAACUUCUGCUAAUACCUCAUAUGCGCGUAGCUGAGAUGCUAUUCGUGAAAAACUCCGGUGCUCUGGGAUGAGUCUGCAUCUGAUUAGCUAGUUGGGGGUGUAAUGGACCACCAAGGCGACGAUCAGUAGCUGGUUUGAGAGGAUGAUCAGCCACAAUGGGACUGAGACACGGCCCAUACUCCUACGGGAGGCAGCAGUAGGGAAUUUUGCGCAAUGGGGGGAAAAACCCCUGACGCAGCAACGCCGCGUGAACGAAAAAGCCCUUCGGGGUGUAAAGUUCUGUCAGUGGGGACGAAACUUGACGGUACCCACAGAGGAAGCAUCGGCUAACUCCGUGCCAGCCGCCGC